RNAcentral lists this long non-coding RNA (4609 nucleotides) under Sus scrofa (pig). Its description in RNAcentral is "lncRNA (ENSSSCG00000046030.2)". The record is from RNAcentral. Lineage: Eukaryota; Metazoa; Chordata; Mammalia; Artiodactyla; Suidae.
UUGGGAUAAGCAUUGUAACUAGAAGCGAAUCAUGUGUCCAUGACAUCUGGAGAGCUGACGCUCACCCCCAUUUUCAUCUGCCGCCCAGGAAAUAACCACCGUUUCUAAAGUUAUUGCUUUCUCAUUAGCAAUGAGCAGGCUGCUUUAGCUCCUAUGCUCAGUGAGAGAUUUACUUGCAGUUCUCAGGAAGGCACAUGGAUCUCAGUAUCCUCCUUAAGAGAUGCCAAAUACAAAGCCCAAGGAGGAAAAGCAAAAGAGAGCUUUGGAAAUAUUUACCUUCUCCUCCAAUUUGGUAGAUACAAGUAAAUUCUUAAUGGAAAAAGGAAAAAGACUUGUCAAGGAAUGAGAAGAGUUCGUAACAAUAAAACUUGUACCUUGCCUCCUAGGUAAGGAAUCAGACUUGAUGUGCUAGGCGCCCCCCAAACUCUAAUCAGAUUUACAAUCUAGAAGGCUGAUCCCUCCCCCAACAACUGCCUUAGAGACCAGUUAACCUUAAACAGUCAUUUGUCAUGGGAUGUUCAUUUACAACUUCCCUCUACCCCCUACCCCAAAAUAUUACUCGCACUCCUAAGGAGAUGGCCUCUCCCUAACCCUUGAAUAACGAACAAACCUGUGCUGAAAGUAGGAACUACCCCUUUUUCUCUAAAAAUAACUUCUUCCUAAGCGUCAGGGAGUUCUCUCUCAAUGCUUCUGGCCAGCUUGUUGGUCAGUAAAACUUGCUUGAAGUCUCAGUGCUCCGGCCUCCUGCUGCUUCUUUGAUUUUCUGCUCUAACAUUGCCCACAUUAACAAUCAAAGUACUAUGUGUUAUCAGGAAAGGAAAAAAUACAUAAUUCACUGCCACGUUAAUGCUUCCAUUCAGUUCUGGACUUGGCGUGCUGUUGCUGACACAUUUCACGCAGUGGAGAAGACUACAUCCCAUUGACACAAUACCCCAGCCCCUCCUGAGCUCUUUUUAGAGCAGGACCACUACAUAGGGUUCUCUCCAAACAUCUCCCCAGCCUCCACUUGCAAUUGCAAAGGUGGUGUCUGAAAGGUCACACUGCAACCUUUGAAAACUUGACAAUUUUCCUUUUUCCACCCCUUUUAGUGGCACUGACUACAUAGUGCCUUGGCUUUAUUUUACUUGGAUUUCCCCGAAAAGCUCUGCAGACCACUGAAACCACCUAGGAAGUACCAACAGCUUUUAAGAGCACAGUUUUUGGUGUCUGUUCAGACCUUGGUUGGAAUCUCACUUCUGAACUUCUAGCUGAGUUAGUGAAUCAGGAACCUUUCAGGAUAAAAGCACUGGAGUUCCCGACAUGGCUCAGUGGUAAUGAACCCAACUAGUAUCCACGAGGAUACAGGCUCAACCCCUGGCCCCAGUCAGUGGGUCAGGGAUCCUGCAUUGCGUGACUGUGGUGUAGGCUGGCAGCUGCUGCUCCAAUUCGACCCCUAGGCAGGGAAUGUCCAUAUGCUGUAGGUGUAGCCCUAAAAAGACCAAAAACAAACAAACAAACAGACACACACACACACACACACACACACAAAAACAUCCUCGGGGGCUCAAACAGAAUGGAAUUUAAUGCAGAAAAAUGGUCCCACGAAGUCAAGGAAAAGUUGAGAAGCUAAAAGGUGAUAUAUUAGUCAGUUUUUAAUUAGAUGUAACAAUAGCAUAGACUGAGUGGCCUCAAAAACAGAAAUUUAUACAGUGUUCCUGGUGUGGCUCAGCAGGCUAAGGACCCAGUGUUGUCUCUGUGAGGAUGUGGGCUUAAUCUCUGGUCUCACUCAGUGGAUUAGGGAUCUGAUGUUGCCACAAGCUGUGGUGUAGUUCACCAGUGUGCCUCGGAUCUGCUGUUGCCAUGGCUGUGGCAUAGGCCCCUGGCCCGAGAACUUCCAUAUGCCGCAAGUGAGGCCAUAAAAAGAAAAAUAAAUACAAUUAAUUUCAGAAAAAAACAGAAAUUUAUUUCCUACAGUUCUAGAAGCUAGAAGUCCAAGAUCAAGAUGCCAGCCAGUAUAGCCAGAUUCUGGUGAGAGCUCUCUUGCUGGCUUCUUACAGACAGCCACUUUCUCACUGUGUCCUUACAGGGUGUGAGGGUGGGGGUUCAUUUCCUGUCUCUUCUCAUAGGGACUUGUAAUUUUAUCCGAUCCGGGCCCCACUCUUAAGGCCUUAUUUAACCUUAAUUACUUCCAUAAGGGCCUUAUCUUUAAAUACAAUCAUAUAGAGGGAUUAAGGUGUCAGCAGACAACCCAGGAAUCAGCAACAGAAAAAAGCCAUUAUCACCUUUGAGUUUGGAGUGACACCAAAAGUAAAUGUUACUGGAGCCUAGAAGCCAGGGCCAUCCAGCAAGAGCUAGAACCCUAGUAGCAGAGGUAGCCUAGUAAGAACAGAGACCCUAGAGGGUCUCUGUCCAAGGAAGACAGAUUUGAGGAAAUGCAGCUGCUGAAGCAGGGUCAGGAGAGCAGGAGACGUUCUCUGAUUCCCCCGCUCCCAUGCGCCUCUCUUUCACUAGUACCUCUGAUUGGCCAAUGCUACCUGGGCAUUUCUUGCCAUACAGAGUGGAGGAGAAGUGAGAUACGGAGCUGAGAACCAGAUAAAGGACGAAUGGUACAUUCACUGUGUGACCUUGGGCAACCCGCUUUUCUGAACAUCAUUUUCCUCACUUAUAAAAUGGGGACAUGGAGUUCCCAUCAUGGCACAGUGGUUAGCGACCUCGACUAGCAUUCAUGAGGAUGCGGGUUCGAUCCCUGGCCCCGCUCAGUGGGUUAAGGAUUUGUCAUUGCUGUGAGCUGUGGUGUAGGUCGAAGACACGGCUAGGAUCUGAUAUUGCUAUGGCAGUGGUGUAGGCUGGCAGCUGCGGCUCCAAUUCGACCCCUAGCCUGGGAAGCUCCAUGUGCCAUGGGUGCGGCCCUAAAAAGCAAAAAAAUAAAAUAAAAUAAAAUAGGGACAACAAAAGACUUAUUUUGAGGGUUAAGGAAUAUAAUUCUUAUGAAGCAUUUAGGACAGUAUAAAUUCUCUCUCUAUGGAGAUAUAAACAUAUACGAUAUGUUAAAAUACUGGUUAUAUGCAAAUAUACAGAUACUGAUUAUUACUAGUUAGGGACUUUAGCUUUAGCUCUUGUGUUAACAAUGACCAACCAAUCAGGAAGCUACGGUCAGUAGAACAGGAUCAAUAAACCAGGAAAAUCCAAAAGUUAGUUUGAACCAAGCUAUCUGUUAAGUGAAAUUUCUAAGAAGGUGAAAACAAAGCAGAGUGUCGUCUCAGCUUCUUUUCUACGUUCUCCUUUUCUCCUUCUUUCUCCAUUUGAGGCCCCCGUCUUUCUCUUCCAAGGCUCCAAGAUUGUGAACAUGUGUGCUUGUGGGUGAGCAUCAUGAUCUUUAAUUGUUGGAUCAAUGGAUCUCUCGUCUAUUCAUUUCCCCCAACUUCCAGCCUAAAAAGAGGGAAUGCAGAGGCUCACGGUGUAGAUAAUCUUCUUUAUGAAAUAACUCACCUCACUCAGGAAUAAAGGUCGUAGCAGAUGUCCUUUAGUGAUGAAAGACUAAUAGAGGCCACUCAGCCUCUGCCCCACGGGCAUGCACUGCUUGGCAAGGGGAAGGUCGAAUCAUUCUGCCAAGGUCACAUCCCUCCCUCCAAGGAGGAAACAGUGCAGCCAAGAUGGUCAAUGGAAUGGAUCUCAACUGCUCUAUGUCUCACUCUCUGGAACAACUGCACAGCUCAGACUAAAAGAGACCCAAGGCAGAAUGCUGCAGCAAAGCAGAGGCCCAGGGGCAGGCCUGCACUACUCACCACGUGAAUCAAGAUGAGGGCAUCUAAUCAGCUGGUAGCAACUGGAUGCAAAUGCAGUCAGUACAUUCAUUAUACAUUGGGGUAAUCAAGUACAGAAGGGCCAGAGUUAACACAUUCAAAAUUCACAGUUUUUAUCUGCUUGAAAGUGAUUCUCAAACAGGAAUCCUUCCAGGACUAACAUGCCAGGGAAACCAGAAUCUUGUUGAAACUGCUAGUGUUUCCUUGUUCCAGGCCUUCCUCCUUUAGAGUUGGACAUGAGCCCAUGUGGUGUGGGCACAGGAGAGACAAGGGAGGGCUGGCUGUUUCUGCCCCAAAAAGACAGACGGUCAGAGGAUACUCUGGGGAAGAGCCACACCCAAGAUGGCUGUUCACGUGAGUCUCUACAGCAAGGCCAAAAUAAUGAUAUGGCUGCAAUCAUUCUGAAAAUGUCAUUUAGCAACCCACUUUUUCAGUAACAAUAAGUUAUAAGUGUUUUCCCAUUUUAUCUCAAAUUCAUCAGCAUGACUAGGUAUUACACAAACCCCUGGCCUUUAUCGUGUCUCACCAUCCUUCUGUAAACAGCUCCCCCAUGUUGUUUGAAUAGUCUCAAAACCAUAAUGCUACAGCCUCAAAGUAUUCAGAUUACGAAAAUAAACAUAUUCAGUUGACAAUAAUCAUAUUUAUUGUGAGAACUAUUGUUAUACUUGAGCUUUCCUUGAAAACAAAGCAGCCAGUCAUAAUCAACAGAUGUUCCUUGAGCAUCAGCUCUAGGAGUAAAUGAGCAGAUAUUUAAUUCAUCCCACUUAAAUAUGAGUCAGUGUAAGCAAUCAGGGGUGAGGUCAUUUGAGGUUUAAAAAUUGGCAAAA